This 440-nucleotide ribosomal RNA is filed under the name uncultured bacterium. Its description in RNAcentral is "partial 16S ribosomal RNA". It matches the Rfam family "Bacterial small subunit ribosomal RNA", at positions 338 to 795 of the family's 1533-position model. The record is from RNAcentral.
CCUACGGGUGGCAGCAGUGGGGAAUAUUGCACAAUGGGGGCAACCCUGAUGCAGCGACGCCGCGUGAGUGAAGAAGUAAUUCGGUACGUAAAGCCCUAUCAGCAGGAAAGAAAAUGACGGUACCUGACUAAGAAGCCCCGGCUAACUACGUGCCAGCAGCCGCGGUAAUACGUAGGGGGCAAGCAUUAUCCGGAUUAACUGGGUGUAAAGGGAGCGUAGACGGGAGUGCAAGUCCGGAGUGAAAGCCCGGGGCUCAACACUGGGACUGCAUUGGAAACUGUAAGGCUGGAGUGCGGUAGGGGCAGGCGGAAUUCCUGGUGUAGCGGUGAAAUGCGUAGAUAUCAGGAAGAACACCGACGGCGAAGGCGGCCUGCUGGACCGUAACUGACGUUGAGGCUCGAAAGCGUGGGGAGCAAACAGGAUUAGAUACCCUGGUAGUC